UGGCGGCGGUGCCUAAUACAUGCAAGUCGAGCGGAGUUAUUCCUUCGGGGAUAACUUAGCGGCGGACGGGUGAGUAACACGUGGCAACCUGCCUGUAAGAUCGGGAUAACUACCGGAAACGGUAGCUAAGACCGAAUAAUCAGCUUGGUCGCAUGACCGAGUUGGGAAAAGCGGAGCAAUCUGCUACUUACAGAUGGGCCUGCGGCGCAUUAGCUAGUUGGUGGGGUAACGGCUCACCAAGGCGACGAUGCGUAGCCGACCUGAGAGGGUGAACGGCCACACUGGGACUGAGACACGGCCCAGACUCCUACGGGAGGCAGCAGUAGGGAAUCUUCCGCAAUGGACGCAAGUCUGACGGAGCAACGCCGCGUGAGUGAUGAAGGUUUUCGGAUCGUAAAGCUCUGUUGCCAGGGAAGAACGCUUGGGAGAGUAACUGCUCUCAAGGUGACGGUACCUGAGAAGAAAGCCCCGGCUAACUACGUGCCAGCAGCCGCGGAAUACGUAGGGGGCAAGCGUUGCCCGGAAUUAUUGGGCGUAAAGCGCGCGCAGGC
Molecule: ribosomal RNA, 551 nt
Filed under: uncultured bacterium
Lineage: Bacteria
Description: bacterial SSU rRNA
Rfam family: Bacterial small subunit ribosomal RNA
Source: RNAcentral